Molecule: non-coding RNA, 30 nt
Filed under: Mus musculus (house mouse)
Lineage: Eukaryota; Metazoa; Chordata; Mammalia; Rodentia; Muridae
Source: RNAcentral
UCUUCAGUGACAACAGGAUGAUGGUCUUAG